UUAUCAUUUUCGAUUCACUCCUCAUUUGAAACAUCUUCAAUCCGGGUUCCUUGGCCACUCCUCUUCCAAGGCAGCUUCAUUGCAGAUCGGCGUAUCCCUUACCAGGUACAUCUCUUCCCUUUUUACUAAUGCUUCCUUCGCUAGUUUAUGGGCUUGAAUAUUUUAUGAUCUUUGAAUAAAUCGAAAAAUGAUUUCUUGAAACCGAGAACUACAACUCUGGAUAUCUCUGAUAAUCGCUCCGACAAUCGAUCUAUCCAUAUCUGUCGCUUUACAAUUUUUGAUGAUUGUUUUCGACUCCCCCAUAAGCGUGACUCAUUUUAGACCCAUUAAGAUGCCUAACUUGGCUGUCUGUAAACAUAUAAGUGCCUCUGCUAGAAACAGAGAUGAGACAUUGGCAUGAAGGGUCGUUUUUGAGGCUUUUAUCUCUCCCAUCUGAUCUCGAACGACAAUCCCCGACGCUGAUCUGGAAUUGUUUGCAUCAAAAGCUGCAUCGAAUUGUAUUAUGUCCCUUGUUGUCUCCUCCUUUUGCUUUUGUGUUCUGGUAGUCCCCAACACUCCUUCUAGUUCUGUUAAAUAGCUCUGUAUUUUUUGUACUAGAUCCCUUCCUGAUGCAAGUUUCUUUCAUGCACCAUUUGGUUCCGCGAGCUCCAUAUAACCCACAGAGUACAGCAAAACAUCCGACAAUGUUCCUUAGUACCUUUUCUGAAAACCCAAGCAAGCCAUGUCUUGAUAUUUUGAUCUAGAUGUGAUGUAACCCAAACCAUAUUAAGAUUCUUCCAUACUUCAAUGCUUGUAGGGCAUUGCCGAAAGACAUGGAAGCUGUCCUCUUCCCCAGACCAACAUCGAGGGCAUCUCACAUUUGUGGUUAUUCGCUUGCAUCUGAGAUUGACUAGUGUAUGAAUAUAGUUCCAGAAUAUCCGCCAGAAUAGAAGUAGAAUUUUUUAUGGAAUUUGUAAAUUCCAAAGUUUUCUGUUUAAUUCUUUAGUAUCAGUCUGUAAUAAAUAACUAUUAGGAUCCAGAAAGUUCACUUUUCCAAACGAGCAAGUCUUCGCAGUUUGUUACUGCAAGUGGGAUUUGCAAAAUUCUUUGAGUAAUGUCCGUUUGAAAGGUAUUAGUAAUAACCUCCGUUUUCCAUAUCUUACUUGUACCAUCGAUUAAAUCUGAUGCUAAUUUCAGCUCUCCAUUGUCAUCUCUGUUCUGCUAGAUAACAAGUUCUACCCCUGGAAUCCACUGACCUGUCCAAAUGGAGAUGCCAUUUCCUCUCCCAACUCUCCAACUUAGCCCUUGAAGAAUUAGUCCCUUUGUAAUCCAAAUACUCUUCCAUGUAAGAGAAGGUAAACUCCUCAACUAUGCACUUAGAAAAUUAGACCGUGGAUAAUACUUUGCUUUAAGAACCCUGGCUAAAAGUGAAUUUGGAUAAUUAAAGAGACGCCAACCUUGCUUGGCUAAUGAUGCGAUAUUAAACUGGCUAAGAUUACGAAAACCCAAACCUCCAUUUUCUUUUAAACUGCAAAUAUUUUUCCAAGAGCACCAAUGAAUUCCCUCUUUCCAUGUCCCCUUCUCCACCAAAAUUUCACAACAAUUGCUUCCAUUUCAUCGCAUAAAGAUUUUGGGAGUAAAAAGCAAGUCAUUGAAUAUGUCAGAAUUGCUUGUAAAAUAGUUUUAAUAAAAAUUUCUUUUUCACCCUGCGAUAAAAAUCUAGUACUCCAAUUGUCAAUGCGUUGCUUUAGCCUAUCCUUUAAAGCCUGAAAAGAUUUCUUCUUUUUUAAUCCCACCAUGUUCGGCAAACCUAGGUAUUGUUUUGGCUCAACUGAACUUCGAAUUCCCAACAAAUUGACAACCAGUCUUCUUUCUUCCUCUAUCGUGUUUUUACUGAAAAACAGUUGAUUUAUCAAAAUUCACACAUUGUCCCGAACAUCUUUUAUACUCAUUUAAGAUCUCCUUGAGUACAACAGCCCCUCUGCUUGUUGCUUCCCCAAAUAGAAUGCAGUCGUUUGCAAAUAAUAAAUGUGACACCUGUGGACCUCUUCUACUUACCUUGACACCCUUCAGAAAUCCUUCUUUUGUAGCUAUUCUCAUAAGACUAGAAAGGCCCUCUCCACAUAUUAGGAAAAGAAACGGACUCAAAGGAUCACCCUAUCGAAGUCCCCUGGUUGGACGGAAUGUUACUCCAACAUUUUCAUUUACCACAACCUUAUAUGAAAUAGUAGACAUGCAUUUCAUAAUAGUAUCAAUCCAUAUUUGAGCAAAUCUCAUUCGUAUCAUUAUCUCCCUAACAAAGUUUCAUUCAACCCUGUCAUAAGCCUUACUUAUGUCCAAUUUUACCGUCAUAAAGCCUUUUCCCCCCACUCUUUUCUGUUUUAGAGUAUACAAUAUUUCGUAAGCUAGCAAUACAUUAUCCGAGAUUAAUUUUCCUGGCACAAAAGCACUUUGAGCACUAUCAAUGCAUUUAUCAAUCACUCUUCGAAAUCUGUUCGCUGUAACUUUCGCCAUCAUUUUAUAAAUAACAUUGCAUAAACUAAUAAGCCUAAACUGUGACAUAUUAGAUGGGUUGUUAAUUUUUGGAAUAAGCACAAUAUGAGUUGUGUUAAUUGAACUGACCUCCAUAUCUCCAUUCAAGAAUUGUUGACACAAGGAAACUACUUCCUCUCCAAUAAAAUGCCAACAGCCAACACUUCUGAUAAAAGAUAGCUGGAAAUCCAUCCUCGCCCGGCACCUUUGGGGGUACCAUUUUGAACAAAGCCUCGUGAAUCUCUUCUCCUAUAUAUCGCGCCAUAAGCUCUUUAUUUUCCUCAUCAUAGACACAUCGAUCAAUGCUCGAGAGUAAAUAAUCAAUUUUUUUCUGAUUAUUUGAUGUAAACAAAUUCUGAAAGUAGGACCUUGAUAUUUCUUCCAUUUCUUAAAGAUCUCUCGUUUCCCUUCCAUGUUCACUUUGUAACUUACUAAUCAUGUUUUUCUUCUGCCUCUGGGUUGCCUGACUAUGGAAAAAAGCUUAAUUUUUGUCGCCUAAUUUUAACCAGUUCAGUUGGGCCCUUUGCUCCUAGUAUCUUUCAUCCUUCUCAAUUUCCAAAUUUAGCUAAAUCUUCGUAUCAAUCAUCUCCGCCAUGUUAGUAUCAUCCCUUUCAGCUUCAAGCAACUCUGAUAACUUUGCUGUUAAAGAUUCAUUUCUCCAUUUUUUAUUAAUUUGCAUUUUUCCCGCCCAAUUUUCCAGACCCUUCUUUAAAAAUUCCAUCUUCUACAGAAAAUCACCUGAUGCUAUCUCCCAUAAAAUUUCCAGUUUCAUCAACAAAAGAAUCUUCCAAAAAUUAUCAGGUUUCAAUUUUGAAACAAUUUUCAUUUUACUGUCUUCCUUCCUUUUUUGUAUAAAUUAAAAGAGGACAAUGAUCAGAAAAAGAAUGCACUAGAUGCUGAACUUUUACCUCAGAAAAUAGAUAAAUCCAUUCCUCAUUGGCAACCCUCUAUCUAUACAUACUUGUAUAUUUGUUUCUAGGAGAUUACCUCUCCCACAUGAACCAUCUACCCAAGUACCCCACAUCAUUCAGUUGACAAAACUCUAAAGCUUUCCAAAACAUUCCCAUCCUUAUUUCAUCUUAGGGCAGGCCUCCCUUUUUUUCAAAGCCAUACAUAAUUUCAUUGAAAUCUCCACAUACCAACCAAGGGACAUUCUUUUCAUUAUAAAGAUUUUUCAAGACAGCCCAUGAAUCUUCUCUAUCUUGUGCAUACGAAGUUCCAUAAAAACCUAUAAAUCGCCAAUUACCUUCUCUUUCAUUAUCACUCACUACCACAUCAAUAUGCCUUUAAGAGAUUCUGUAGUGAAAUAUUAACGUCAUUCCACCAAGCCAAACAUAACCCUCCUCUAGUACCUUCCGGAUCCACCUCAAUACCAUUCACAAAACCACAUCUCCGUUGAACUCUUUCCAUUUGAAUUCCACAAAGUUUCGUCUCCAUAAAGAAGACUAUAUGGGGAUCACAAGUCUUCAGCGAAUGCCAAAGUCUUCUAACUAUCCGUGGACUCCGUAAUCCAAGGACAUUUCAGCUUAAUAUUUUCAUUGCACCCGGUCGACUUGCCACUUGGCAGCCACCGAUGAUAAAUGAUUAAGAUCUUCCAAACUCCUAUUUCUUGUUAGGGUAUUAUUCAUCUCCUCAAUCCUUUGUAAAUCAUUAAGCUCCCCUCUAGAUCUUUUCUUACCCUCCUCUCUUACUAGGGCCACAUCCUCCAAAACGUGAUCUAUCGCAUUUAGGGUGUGAUUAGUCAGUGAACUAUCCUGCUUUGUACCAACACUUGAUAAACUGCCUUCCAAAUUAAAACCAAGAUUUGGAUCAACAGGCUUCCCAUAACUUUUCCUGUACUCCAUCCUUCGUUGUUCAUUUGCAAAUCCCCUAUUUACCUCAUGAAUUCCACUCGUAACCCCCUCACUUUCCUCUCGUAACCAGACACUGUUCAUAGUCAAAGCUCUUUGGGAUUGUGCUCUUAUUGAUAAAUCCCACCCCAUUUUAGUAAUUUUCACUCCAAUUGUCAUUUUUGCCUCACAAAAAGAAUCAUUAUGGCCCAACUUUCCAUAAUAGAAACAGAAAAGUGUCAACCUUUCAUAUUUAAAACUAACAUAUGAACGCCUCCCACGGAACUCGAUUUGUUUCUUCCUUUUCAAGGGACGUCUGAUAUCAAUUUGGACCCUGAUUUGCAUAAAAUUCCUAUUUUCUUUCCCUAUAUUUGGCACAUUGUAUUCCAUAAAGUACCCCAAGAAAUUUUCUAAAUUCACUACUAAGUUUUCAGAAAACAAACCAAUAGGCACAUUAUGUAUUUGAACCCAGAAAAGGGUUAACACUAAAGGCACCUACAGCGGAUCCUCCCCCUAAUGUAGUUUAUAAGUAUCAGCAAAUGAUUAUUAAAGGUUCAUGAGGAGCCUUUCAAAACCCUCUUCAUAUCCAUAGAAUGAAAACAUUGAAACAGUAACCUUUUUUCCCUAGAUCUCGGAUUCGAACGCCCCGAACAGUAUGCCACAAAUUCGCCAUAGUGCUUUUUCAUGGCUGGAAAGUGAAUUAUGCUUGCUAUGAGAAAACACCCCACUAAUUGAAAAAACUCUACCCUUCUUCCCGUACUAGGAUCUUCUUGAAUUUGAAUAGCAACAUCUUCCCUUCAUUUAUCAUUAAUUGGGCUUAUUAGUUCUCCAUUAUUUUUCAAGGACACAACGCAGAAAACCUAAAUUCUUGCCAGAGGUAGUAGACACAAGCGCGCUAGGGUAGCAGAUUGUUAAAACCUUAGAUUGUUGAGUUGUUAGUCUCACGGCAUAAAUAACUUGUACAGACUAUUGAUUUGUUUUGUACCAAUACAAUUAUUUUUUUCUUAAAAACACAUUAAAUUAAAUAAAUAUUAGAAUAGUAUAAAUACUUGGAAUUAUUAUAUAAAAAUAUUCAUGUUUAAAAUAGUUUUUAAAAAUUAGCAUGUUUUAAAAUUAAAAUAUUUGGAAUUAUAUAAAAAUAUUUGAAAAUUUGAAGUUAAAAUUUUAUAUUACAAUAUUAAAAAAUGUUGAACUACGCACGUGCCAAUCCAUCCAUAACAUUAAAAUUUAAUUCAAAAUAAUAAUUUAACAAAUUGAUUAGAAAUAAAUUUUAACAAAAAUUUAAAAAUUUAGCUUUUGAAAUCUUAUAUUUAAAUUUAUUUCUCAUUUUAUUAAUAAAAUUUAUAAAAAAAAUUUGUAGUCACAUUUUAAAUUUAAUUAAGAAUCUACUUUCCCUAAUUAAUCAUUAAAAUCAAGUUGGAAACUAUAUAUAAAAUGAGAAUUUCAUAUAACUUAUAAUUAUAAAAUUUAUAUUUUAAAAAUAUUUUCAAUAUAUUGUUAGUCUAAUAUUAAGUAUCAUGUUUUUAAAAUUAAACUUAUAAAUUAUUAUGUUUUAAUUUCAUUAACAGAAAGUUAUAAAAUUUAUAAAAAAAAUUUAAGAAAUAAUUAAAUGUAAUUUAAUCGAUACAUACAAUCAACUCGUGGCACUCCCCAUUUGGAAAUAAAUAAAAUUUACAUGAUUUUUUAUGAAAAAUAGAAAUAAACAAGCAUGUUUGUGUUGCAAUUUCUUUUUGAGAUAAAAAGGUUUCCAUUUAUGCAUAAAACAAACAACAAAGCACCCAUUUGGCGAUGCCCAAGCGGAAUAGAGCAUAUACACGGGCCCAACAAAUGACCCAACGAGAAAGUUCCAAAAUAGAAAAACAAAAGCAAGAUAGUAACCCUACCAGACAGCAACCAAAGGAAGUCAAAAGCCUUCCGCUGUCCAAAUAGAUGAGGAAAAUUUGAGUGACAAUGGAGAUACACAUGAGAAACAGAGGAGAGGAAAGCAAUCAAGCGUUGUUGUGUUAGGAGAGACCAUGAACCAAGCGUCGAGCUACUCCACUAUAGCAACCAUGGCUAAUUCCACCUAGAAAGGUACUUCCUCUAUCCAAAACUGAUCUUCCCACCGAAAACCUAAUGCGGCCAGAAGAUGGGCACUAAAUUUUGUUCCCAAAAACAGUGGCGAACAACAGCUUCAGAGAAAUCUCUAAGUAAACGUCGUCUUCCCUCAUGAAUGAGUGCCCUGAUUUUGGAAUAAUCGUCCUGUGAGGAUGUUAAUCGCCGAAUAACAUGUAGGGAACCCUCAAAAAUAACCCGAGAGAGGUCGAGGUCACAGGAAAAGAUCGCUAUAGUGAGAAAAGUUAGCGUCUCUGCCGCAAAAGGAGAGGAUACAUAUUGAUGUCAACGAGUACAAGCCCCAAAAAACCAAUCCUUGGCAAUCCCGGAUCACCACUCCAGAGUAAGAGGAACUUGUUCUGCCUCGUAAUGUAGUUUAAGUUUUCUUUUAUCAUGGGGGUAGCUACUGGUCGCCAACGCGUAGAUCGAGAACCCUUGGGGACCAACACAUGAACAACAAGUAAUGGCAAAGAAGAGAAAUAUGAGCAGAUGAAAGAAGCUAGCUCUAGUGGAGUGGAUGUCUUCGUGAUAUAAGCAAAUUCCCACCGACUAAAGAGCCCAGAUUAUUGUAAAUGCAAUUUCCAUUUCACCUUCUAUAGAUAAUGUACACAAAUGCCCCAACCAAUUGACAAACCCAAAAUCAAUAUAAGUAUCCGACCAGGAGAUGUCCAAACAGCACCAUCCCAAAGCAACAAAAGGACAGUCUCAUGCAACAUGGACUAUAGUUUCAGGCACAGUAAGACACCGAGGGCAGAACUAGGUAAAAGAAAUUGUAAAAGAAAUACAUUUGUUGUAUAGGUUAGACAAAGUAGGAACAUAAUUCUUCAAAAAUAUUUCAUGUUGUAAUUUGCACCUUGGGAAUGUGUAACGCGUAGGUUUGUGCAAGUGUACACAAUCGUUAUCAAGUAAUAAGUAUCGAGUUAUCGUCUUCACAGGGAUUGUAUUUGUGCUAAGUCACUUAAUUUGUAAAAUUAUAUUAACAACUUGGUAAAUAAAAACACAAUAUAGUUUAGAAGUGGUGAUUAAAAUAUAUUAAACUAAAUGCAAUUAUCCAUAAUGCAAAUUUUCCUAAGUAUGCAAACUAUAUGAAUGAAAUAGAUUUUAGUAAAAUUAAAUACAAUUUGCAACAAUUAUAACAUAAAUAAACUAGGAUAAUUACUUUAAUUAAACUCAAUUUAUUAUCAAUAUGCUUAAUAACAUUCGAAAAAACAUUCCAUGGUAACUCGAUCUUUCAUAGUUUGGAAACCACAUUAGGUCCUUUCGAAAUUCUUUACUUAGUAAAUACGCAUUUUACUAAUCUUUAUUUACUAAGGGUUUCUUAGCAUUCGUGUGAGGUAACAGGGACGUGUCAGGUUUGAAACAAUUUAAUCACAAAUCUAAAAACUAUGCAGAUAACAGAGCUUGGUUGGAGUUGUUAUGCAACAUUUAAUUUAAUCGGGUCAGGAUCUAAAUUAAGCAUGCACAUUUCAAUUGUGUCCAUUAGCCAUCGUCCAGUCAGGAUCGCUCGACUAAUUUAGGUGCAUUUCAAUGUAGACUUGAUUUUAAUUGAAAAUAUGAUCGAUUGAGGCACAAACAUUAUAAGCAUGAAUCAAAUAAAUAUUAUUUAAUCAAAGCAAUCAUCCUAGCUUAAAUAAAAUUAAGCUAAUAUUGUUGUAAACAAGAACAAAAAACACGUAGCAAACAUCUUUAUAUUAAAUUAAAGAAAAAGAAGAUUAAACCCAAUUCAUAGUGGUUAUCACCUAAGACUCUGACUGACGAGGCUCUUUCGUUUCUUUGCUUUGCUCCUUUGCUUAUGGCUUUCUAAGGUGACCGACCAAGGGUUCUUUAAGAGGCUUAAUUGCUAAAAUCUCUAUGAAGAGAUGAUGCUAGGCGUGGGAAUGGGAAAGGCUAAGAGGAUUUGGAGAAAAGAGAGAAUGAUGAAUGAUGAAAAUGAAUGAGGAAUGAUUGUGGGAUGCUUGAAAGAUGUUUCAAGGAUGAUGAAUGAAUGAAUGAAUGAGAGGGUCUUAUUUAUAGGUGAGGAGAGGGGGAUAGUUUGCUAAAAAUAGUGGAUGUUAACCUUUUCAAAUCUCCUCAAAUUGUGGCUAGCCAUGCUUAGUGGCUUUUGACUUGAUUUUUUUGCUUGAUUUUUAAGCAAUUUUAGAUGCCACACAAUUCAGGACUGAGACUCGGUCAAUGAUAAAUCUUCGAGAAAAUCUCUAAUUUCUUUAACACUGCAAAAACCUUGUGUAAUUAAACCAAAGAAUGGUUUAAAUGGACAACCAUGUGUAGCCAAAUAUUGGGUUGACUUGGUCUCCAAUUUGGAUGGUUUUGUAAUCUAGCAAAGCUAUCAGACCUAUUCAGAACAAAUUAACAAGUUAGAGGACCAAAGAAUAAAAUUUAUUAAAUAUAAUUUUAUAUUUUAUUAUUUAAUUUAAUCAUGCAUGGCCUACUUUAUGUCUUAAAAAAUAUAAUAUAUUCAAAUUAAUAUAAAAUAAGCCAUUUAUUGCAUGAAAAACUAUAUAAUAAUGCAUAAAAUCACAUUUUAAUAAUUUCUAUGUCCUAAUUUCAUAUUUUCACAUAUUUCAUUAAUUUAUUAAACAAUUAUUUAGUUUUAACAACGAAUUUAAGUAAAAAGGUGAUAAAUUACAUAGGAAAAAUCCUAUAUAUUUUUUCGUUUACACAGCCCUAAACUUAAAUAAUUGCUUGUCCCGAGUAAUUUUUAUGCAUAGCAAAAGGUCUUGCUAAGGAAAAAUUGCUAAUUGUGUAAGUAGCAUCAAUCUUUGUCCCAUAGUCAUGCAUUAAUAACUUCAUGCUUAUCGAUCUUCUUUAUUAACAAGUAAUUCAUAUGCAAACUUUCCUUAAGAUUAUACUAAGCUUCAGAAUAUGCUAACAUGAAUCAUAGUUUGCAUGUAUGUCUCAGUCAUAGAUAACAUUUUUCAUUCAACAUAAUUUCUUAUCAAUCAAGCAAACAAUCACAAGGCUUAUUUAUGAUUUUUAUAUGUUGAACUUAAGACUUCCUCUCCACUAAUGUUGGUGACAUAAUCAUCAAAUCAAUAGGUCUUUUAUAAGGUUGUAAUGGGGCUCAGUUAAAGGUAGGGAUUUUAAGAGAUAAGACAUUUCGGUUUUAAAAAUCUUAACCUUUAACUUUGUCUUGGUUUUCUCGUACUAUAACUUUUUUCUUUAAAUGAACAUUUGGAACACUCCCAAACUUAGUUUGAACUCAAGCUCAUACAUUUUUCCUUUUUGAAGAUUGGGCAAAUUUUUUUUCGCUCUUUUUUUUAAAGCAUGAGCACAUACAUCUUUAUGAAAAUUUCCUUAAAUGUUGAUUCCUAAGACAACUUUAGUUAAAAUAGGUGCACAAAAUUAGGAUAAUUUUAAAAAGAUGGUAACUGGCUUAUAAUGUAGGUUCAUUGCAAAAACAGGCCUUUAAGCUAAAAAUUACAGUUUCAAGGGUCUAAUAUCAUAGGGUUGGCUUGAAAAGGCUCAAAUGGUCCAAAGAAAUAGUGCCUAUAUCAUUUUAGAUUUUUAUGUCCUUUAGGAUUUCGCCUCAAGAAAGUUACUAAGUCAAUUCUAAAGAUAUAAACCUUCAUGCAUGUCUAAUCUCAAAAGAAACUAAGUUUUCAUGGCAAACAUUACUAAAGCUAAGAUCAUGCAAGCAUUCCAUUCUUCAUGGUAACGGACUUUCACUUAGAUAAAAUCAUCAUUCAUACUUGCAUACAGACUAUCUCAGUAACAAAAAAAUAUCUCUAAACAUUCAUUUAUUAAAACAUACUUAUGAAAGAAAUAAUUGAAGCAUACUUGAAAAAAUUUUAAAAGUUUAAGUAAUUUAUUUGCCUUACCCCCUUUAAAAAGAAGCAAUGUCCUUAUUGCAAGAACAAAAUAAUGAAUGAAAAUUGAACACCAGGUAAGGUUGUAAAGAAAGGGAGGUGAGUCAUUAAGACUGCUUAAAUACCAAGUCUUCCCUAAUAUCUCAAUCCUAGACAUGUUCAUUCUUAUUACCACAUCACUUAGUCUUAUUCUUUCUAAAGAAGUGUUAAGUUUGUUCAUGCUUGCUGUGUUUUAUUCUGCAGAAAUUAAAUCCUAAUUACGAAGAAAAAUUCCUAAAGACCUAAAAAUAAUUAAAUAAAUAACAGGACAAGAAUCCCUCCUUUUAUUUUUCUGACUUAUUCCCCUUGUCUUCUUUAGCUCCAUCUCCGCUUGCAUCGUCAGUAUUUUCCGUCCAUGUCUCAAAGAUAGCAUCUGGGAACUCAGGAACAAAAGUAUUAGAGAUUUUCUUAAAAAGUAUUUUGAAUUGAUUCAUCUCUAAUUUUUUUCAUUUUUCUAGUAAGUUUGUUAUUGAUUGUGCAUGAACUUGCACAUAUCCAUCAAAAUUGACAACUCCAAUUUCCUUGAUUGGUUCUUCUUCUAGCUCAACCCUUGGUUCAAGAAUGUUCAGUUCCUUAUUAGACUCUUCCUCUUCAGUGUCUGUGACUGAAUUAGCUUCAGUUUCAGUUUCAUCUGUUGACUCCUUUGUAUUCGGCUUAGUUGGCUCUUCUUGCUCACAUUGAUUCAGUUCAUGCACUCUCUUUACCAAUCUUUCAAGAUCAUAAUUUGUAAUGCAUCCUUGAACAUAUCGCCCCUUCAGAUUUACUUAUGUUUUAACACGGGUCUUUGAGCAAAGUGAAGUGAUUAAUGAUGGGAAAUAAGCACUUCCUACUUUCUUUUUAUCACAAUCAUGAAUCUCCUUAAGGAUAAUUUUCCCAACAUGAAUGGACUUUUCUGUCAAAAUUGCAUAUAACAAAAGCAUCCGUUCCAUCGAGAUGGUGGAACUAUGUGAGAUAGGCAUAAAACUGUAGCGAAUGAAAUAAAACCAUACUUUUGCUACUCGUUUUAAGUAUUCUCUUCGACAAGAAUGGCUCUCAUACUUUCUUAUAAUCUAUUGGGAUCCCGAAUUUGUCACAACAUCAAGCACUUGUUGAAGAAAAUCCCAAUUGAUAUUGUUCAUCAUAGGGUAGUACUCAUCUUCUUCAACAUCAGGUAAAUUAAACAAAUCAUUGAUGAACUUAGAAGUAAGAGGUACCUUUAUCUUUUGAACGAUGACUUGAGUAGCAUCUUGCGUAGUCAAACUAGCAUAGAAUUCUCGAACUAGUUCAUCAUCGGGAAGUGAACGAGCAUCACAAAAUCGUUCCCACUUGAGAGCAUUGAUUUUCUUUCUAAUCGGUAUAGGAACAACCAUCAAAUCAUUACUCUUCAAGUCAAAACCUUUUUUCGGCGUCAUAGGUUGAUGCUUGAAGAUUGAAUCAAAUCUCUCUUUCAUUUCUUCAUCAAUCAAAAUCGGGUUUUCAGGUCUUUGAAGAUCUGAUUCUUUUGCGAGAUAUGGUAUCUUUUCCCGAAAAUUCGGGAAGUUUCUACACAAAAGAGAAAAGAGAAUUUGGCAAAGUAGGUAGAACUUGCUACGGAAAAAUCUUACGAUGGCAAAAGGGAAUUUCAACAAAAAGGGAAGAGAACUACGAUUUCUUUCAAAAUUUGAGGCUAACGGCACAAAAGGGAGAUUUUGGGAUUUUUAGGGUGUAAGUAAAUUUCUUUGAAGGAUAUGAAGAUUAGUAGAUUUGAAAGGGGUUUAUAUAGGAAAAAUUAGGGCAACAUGUAGCAAAAAAAUUAGCUAUAUUAGGGUUGCUUGGGCGGCGAGCAAUGGGUGUGAUGGCAAGGCAUGGAUUUUUCCCUCCUUUUUGUUGUCUUGGGCCUCAAACUCAGACUAUAUCUUACUAAAAAAAUGAUUAGUACUUGGGCCAAAUUUGACCCCCUUUAUCAACAUAAAGAUUUAAAAUUUAAAUAGAACAAAUGAAAUUUAAAAAAUAAAUUUAAGUCUUAAUUAGAAAAUUUCUUCUUAACAAAUUACAUUAAAUUAAUUCCUAGGAAAGGUUGCAAGGGUCACAACGGUCCCGCUUAAGUUCCAACCUCCUUAGACAGAAUUAAUUAAAUGUAAUAAGUUAAGAAAAUAAGUUCUAAUUAUUUAUUUAUUUACAAAAUGAGUUCAUGAAAAAUUAAAGCUCUGUUAAUUUGAGCGAGGAUUCAACUCGCUCAACUUCACCAUCCUAGUAGUGUUUGAGACGUUGACCAUUAACUUUAAAUGUACCUCUGCAAUUGUUGUAUAAUUCAAUAGCUCCAUACGGAUAAACUCGGUAGAUGAUAUAAGGUAUUUUCCAUUGGGAUUUAAGCUUUCCAGAAAAUAACUUCAACCUUAAAUUAAACAACAAAACCUUCUGACCUUCUUUAAACUCGCGAGGUUGUAUAUGACUAUCAUGCCAUCUUUUUUAUCUUUCUUUCCACAUUUGGACAUUCUCAUAGGAAAACAACUUCAACUCUUCCAACUCAUCAAGUUGUAACAUCUUGCUCUCACCGGCUUGCUUAAUAUCAAAGUUCAACUACUUCAAAGCCCAGUAAGCUUUAUUUUCCAACUCUAAUGGCAAAUGACAUGCCUUCUCAAAGACUAACCGAUAAGGAGUCAUUUCUAACAGUCUUAAAUGCUGUUCGAUAGGCCCAUAAUGUAUCAUCGAGCCUUCGAUACCAAUCUUUUCUGCUAGGGCGUACUACCUUUUCAAGGAUAGCCUUGAUUUCGGGAUUCACUCUUUCAACUUGCCCAUUAGACUGGGGGUGAUAGGCAGUAGCAAUCUUGUGCUUCACAUCAUAUUUUUCAAGCAACCACUUAAGCCAUUUGUUCACAAAUUCAGAACCUUCAUCACUAAUAAUAGCUCUUGGUGUCCCAAAUCGUGUAAACACAUGCUUAUGUAGGAAUCGCAUGACUACCUUAGCAUCAUUUGUAGGGUAUGCUUUAGCUUCAACUCACUUUGAUACAUAGUCCACAGUAACUAUGAUGUAUUUGUUCCCAUACGAAGAAGGAAACGGGCCUAAGAACUUAAUACCCCAUAUGUCGAACAAUUCAAUCUCCAAAAUGUUUGCUAAGGGCAUCUCAUUCCUACUUGAUAUAUUUCCAGUCCUUUGGCAUUUAUCAUAGUUCUUCACAUAAGCACAAGUAUCUUUAAAUAGUGUAGGCUAAAAGAAACUUGCUUGCAAAAUCUUUGCUGCAGUAUGUGAACCACCUAAGUGUCCCCCACUUGGAGAUGAAUGGCAAUGAUACAAGAUUUCAGCAAUCUUGCUUUCAGCUACAUAUUUUCGGAUUAUAUUAUCUACACAUUGUUUAAACAAAAACGGAUUCUCCCAAAGAUAAUACUGACUAUCAUGAAGGAAUUUUUUCCUUUGUUGGUAUGUCAUUUCUCGAGGAAUUAUUCAACAUGCAAAAUAAUUGGCAAAAUCAGCAAACCAGAGUAUUUCAUGAAUUCGGUUUACCUUAAAUAAGUGUUCAUCUGAGGAAUUCUCGUUGAUAGGCACAUAUGACUGAGUUACCUCAUCUUGCUCCAACCUCGACAGAUGAUCAGCUAUUUGAUUUUCGACACCUUUUCUGUCUUGGAUCUCAAGGUCAAAUUCAUGGAGUAAAAGUAUCCAACGAAUUAGCCUUAGUUUUGCAUAUUUCCUUGUGAGCAAGUAUUUAAUGGCCGCAUGGUUAGUAAAUAAUGUAACUUUGGUACUUACAAAAUAUGAGUGGAAUUUGUCAAAAGAAAAAAAACUAUAGCGAAAAGUUCCUUUUCGAUUACUGUAUAAUUAUGUUGGGCUCUCGUCAAAGUUCUACUUGCAUAGUAAAUAGGGUGAAACACUUUAUUUCUUCUUUGACCCAUCACAGCUCCAACGACAUAGUCACUUGUAUCGCACAUCAACUCAAAAGGUGAGUUCCAAUCAGGUGUAACGAUUAUUGGGGCUGAGAUUAACCGCUUUUUUAGCUCUUCAAAAGCUUCCAAACAUGCUUUGUUGAACUCUUUGAUAAACCUUCGAUAAAAAUCGGCAUGGCCUAAGAAACUUCUGAUUCCUUUCACAUUCAUUGGGGCCGGUAAUCUUUCAAUUACGUCCAUCUUUGAUUUAUUGACUUCAAUUCAUUUUUUUGAGAUCUUAUGACCUAAGACAAUCCCUUCAUUGACCAUAAAAUGACAUUUUUCCCAAUUAAGGAUAAGAUUCGUCUCUUCGUAUCUCUUUAGUACCUUAGCCAAAUUACUCAAACAGAUAUCAUAAGUGUUACCAAAAAUAGAAAAAUCAUCUAUGAAAACCUGAACAAAAUUUUCAACUAUAUCAGUAAAUAUUGCCAUCAUGCAUCGUUGAAAAGUUACAGGUGCAUUGCAUAAACCUAAAGGCAUUCGCCUAAAAGCAAACAUACCGUAUAGACAAGUAAAUGUUGUUUUAUGUUGGUCCUCUAGGGUUACAACUAUUUGUUUAUAUCCUGAAUAGCCAUUUAACAAAUAAUAGAAUUCAUUACCUACCAGUCGAUCUAACAUUUGAUCCAUAAAAGGCAACGAAAAAUGGUCUUUCCAAGUGGCUUUGUUAAACUUUCUGUAAUCAAUACAGAUUCUUCAACCGAUAACAGUUCUUGUUUGAAUUAACUCAUUAUGCUCAUUUUUAACAAUCGUGAUUCCACCUUUCUUCUGCACACUACACUGGACUUACCCACGAACUCUCUAAAAUAGGAUAUAUGAUUUUUGCAUCUAACCAUUUGAUCACUUCUUUUCUCACAACUUCUUUCAUAAUAGGAUUGAGCCUCCUUUGCCCAUCAAUUUGAGCUCUUUCACUGUCUUCUAAAAUGAUUUUAUGCAUGCAAAAAGAUGGGCUUAUACCUCGAAUAUCAGCUAUGGUCGAACCAUUACUUUCUUAAAUUUCUUUAGAACAAUAAUUAGUUGCUUCUCUAAAUCUUUCAUCAGUUCCGCUAAAACAAUCACAAGAAAAAUAUAAAAAUCACUUAAACGUAUUUCAAAUGGGAAGGAAGUACAUUUAGUUCGAUUUUAGGGGGUUCUUCAAUUGACAACUUGGGUUGCACAAAUUCUCUAACUUCUAAUUCCAAAGGUUCAAACCAUGUGGAUUAAAAAAAAUUUCCCGGAUUGGCUUGCAUUAAAGGGUUAAGGUCUAAGGCUUUCUCUAAUGGAUCUUCUUCAAAAUUACUUUCCAUAGAAACCAAGGUUUCUAUCUCUUUCAUAAUUGAACACUCCUCUGUCAAAUCAGGAAAUUUCAUCACUUUAAGAAUGUUAAAGGUUACCUAAUCGUUUUGAACUCGCAUGGUGAGUUCUCCUUUCUGCACAUCAAUUAACGUUCUUCCCAUGGAUAAGAAAUGUCUUCCAAGGAUGAUUGGCACUUCCUUGUUUGCUUCAAAAACUAAGACAAUGAAAUCAGCAGGAAAAAUAAAUUUAUUGGCUCUUAUCAAAACAUCCUCGAUCUUUCCUUCGGGAUAUGCUAAAGAUCGAUCCGCUAGCUUAAGUGUCACAGUUGUAGGUCUUACUUCACCUAUCCUUAACAUCUUAAAAAUAGACUUAGGUAUCAAGUUGAUACUCGCUCUUAACUCACACAAAGCUUUACUAUAGUAAGAUUCACCAAUGUUACAGGGUAUAGUAAAGCUUCCUGGGUCUUUCAAUUUCGGUGGCAGUUUGUUCUACAAGAACGCACUGCACUCUUUUUUCAAGGAAACAGUCUCAUACUCACUCAGUAGUUUCUUCUUGGAAAGUAUAUCCUUUAUAAACUUCACAUAAUUCGGCAUUUGUUCUAAAGCCUCCACCAACGGAAUAUUGAUAUGUAACUACUUCAGAACAUCCAAAAACUUCUUGAACUACACCUCUUAUUUCUGCUUGUGUUGCUGCAAUCUUAGCGGAUAUAAAACUGAUGGAACUUUUGGUUGAACCGGACAACUUUUCUAAGUAGGUAAAUCUGCAUCUAAAGAUGUUAAAAUAUCUAAAUUCACUAAGUUAGGGUUUACCUUGUCAGACUUUGUAGAUUCUGAUUCUUUUAUUGUGAGAACUUCAACAGUUGGUUGAUUCUUCUCAACGGGCUUAUCUUCGACAUCAAUCAAUCGAGGUUCUAGAAUUUUACCACUUCGCAAUGCCACUGCCUUAAUAUGUUCAUUACCUAAAUUUCUUGGAUUCUAAGUAUCGCUCGGUAGGGUUCCUUGUUGUCUAUUACGUAGCUUCGUAGCUAACUGACCCAUUUGGUUUUCCAAAUUUUUCAGUGUUGUUGCUUGGCUUUGGAUCAAAGCGUCAUUAUUUGUCAUGCAUGCUUUCAACAAGUUCACUAAAUUGUUUGAUGCCUUAGCUUGAGGUGGUUUUGGAGCUUGUUGAUUAAACCCUUGAGAUUGGUUGGGUCUUUACUGCAAUAAGUUGUUGUUCGGUCCAUUUCCUAGGUUGCUCCAAGAAAAGUUACGAUGAUCACGCCAUGAAUUAUGUAUAAGUUAGACUAGGGUCCUUGUCUAUUCUUAUUUUGAUAUUGGUUCCCCACAUAGUACACUGACUCAGGAUUUUAUGGACAAUUCUCAAAAGAAUGAGCUUCCCCACAAUACACGCAGGAAAUUACUUCAAACGGACUUGGUGGCUGAGCUGCAGGAUUAUUAGUACUAUUAGUGGUUAAAUGUUUUAUCAUAGAGGUAAUAGACGAUACCUAAGAUGAUAAUGAAGUGAAUGCGUCAACUUCAUGAACUCUGGCUACACGUCUUCCUGAAGCUGUUCGAUUUGUUGGCCAUUGAUAGUUAUUACUCGCGAUCCUCUCGAUGAUCUCAUAAGCCUCAUUAGAAGACUUAGACAAAAUUGCACUAUUCACGAAAGCAUCUACCAUCAAUCUUGUAUGUGCAUUAAGACUAUUAGAAAAUGUCUCCAACUGGAUACAAUGAAGAAUCCCAUGAUGAGGACACUUAUGAAGUAACUUCUUGAAUCGUUCUUAAGCCUCAUACAAAGACUCGUCAUCUAAUUGUUGGAAAGUUGUGAUCUCGUUCCCUAACUUAGUGUUUUUGCUAGGUGGGAAAUACUUAACCAAAAAUCUCUCUGCUAAUUCUUGCCAUGUAGAUAUGAAACUUGGUGGCAAUGAAUUGAGCCAUGCUCGUGCUCGAUCUCGCAAUGAGUACGGAAAAAACUUUAACCUCAGCACGUUUUUAGUCACACCAGCUAUCUUGAAUGAAUCACUCACCUCCACAAACAAUUGAAGGUAGAGGUAUGGAUCUUCCGUGAGCAUACCACUAAAUUGGCCCACCGUUUGUAGCAUUUGAAACAUCACUGGUUUUAGUUCAAACUGAGUUACCUCAAUAUCUAGCAUUCUAAUUCCUGGGUUUAACUUACUGAAAAAUGGCACAACAUAUUGUCUAAUGCAUUUAUCCCUAUCAUCGGUAAUGAGGAUAGGAUUUCAUACAUGAUCGGCUUCAUUACCUUGGUCUUGAUUCUGAUUGCCAAGGUUCAUCUUGACUUGCCUUUGAGUUCGUUCACGUAUUCUUUGUCUGAAAAUUAGCUCAAUUUUAUGGUCUACAAGGAGUAAAUUGAUAAUUUGAUCUAUGCUCAUAAACACCUGAAAAGAAAAUCACAAAAAUUAAAAAGAAUAAGUUAGUAAUGUUAGAAAUAAAUCAAAUUGAAAAUAAAUAAUUUCAUGAAAAAAAUUGACUAUGGCAAGAGUUGACAAUCCUCGGCAACGGCACCAAAAACUUGUAGCGCGUAGGUUUGUGCAAGUGUUCACAGUCGUUAUCAACUAAUAAGUAAGUAUCGAGUUAUCGUCUCCACAUGGAUUGUAUUUGUGCUAAGUCGCUUAAUUUGUAAAAUUAUAUUAACAAUUUGGUAAAUAAAAACACAAUAUAGUUGAGAAGUGGUGAUUAAAAUAUGUUAAACUAAAUGCAAUGAUCCCUAAUGCAAAUUAUCCUAAGUAUGCAAACUAUAUGAAUGAAAUAGAUUUUAGUAAUAUUAAACACAAUUUACAACAAUUAUAACAUAAAUAAACUAGGAUGAUUACUUUAAUUAAACUCAAUUUAUUAUCAACAUGCUUAAUAACAUCCGAAAAAAUAUUCCAUGACAACUCGACCUUUCAUGAGUUUGGAAACCACAUUAGGUCCUUUCAAAAUUCUUUACUUAGUAAAUACGCAUUUUACUGAUCCUUAUUUAUGAAGGGUUUCUUAGCAUUCGUGUGAGGUUACAGGGAUGUGUCAGGUUUGAAACAAUUUAAUCACACAAAGCUAAAAACUAUGCAGAUAACAGAGCUUAGUCAGAGUUGUUAUGCAACCUUCAAUUUAAUUGGGUUAGGAUCUAAAUUAAGCAUGCACAUUUUAAUUAUGUCUCUAUUAGCCGUCGUCUGGUCAGAAUCGCUCAGCUAAUUUAGGUGCAGUUCAAUCACGUAUGAACGAAAUGCAGACUUGAUUUUAAUUGAAAACAUGAUCGAUUGAAGCACAAUCAUUUUAAGCAUGAAUCAAAUUAUUUAAUCAAAGCAAUCAUCCUAGCUUAAAUAAAAUUAAGCUAACAUUGUUGUAAACAAGAACAAAGAACACAUAGCAAACAUUUUUAUAUUAAAUUAAAGGAAGAUUAAACCUAAUUCAGAGUGUCUGUCACCCAAGAAUCUGACUGACAAGGCUGCUUUGUUCCUUUGCUUUACUCCUUUGCUGAUGGCUCUCCAAGGUGGCUGACCAAUAGUUCUUUAAGAGAUUUAAUUGCUAAAAUCUCCAUGAAGAGAUGAUGCUAGGUGUGGGAAUGGAAAAGGCUAAGAGAAUUUGGAUAAAAGAGAGAAUGAGGAGUGAAUGAGGAAUGGUUGAGGGAUGCUUGAGGGAUGUUUCAGGGAUGUUUUAGUGAUGAUGAAUGAAGGAAUGAGAGGGUCUUUUUUAUAGGUGAGGAGAGGGGGAUAGUUUGUUAAAAAUAGUGGAUGUGAACCUUUUCAAAUCUCCUCAAAUUGUGGCCGGCCAUGCUUAGUGGCUUUUGAAUUGAUUUUUUUGCUUGAUUUUUAAGCAAUUUUUGAUGCCACACAACUCAGGGUUGAGACUCGAUCAAUCGUAAAUCUUCGGGUAAAUCUCUAAUUUCUUCAACACUACAAGGACCUUGUGAAAUUAAACCAAAGAAUGGUUUAAAUGGACAGCCAUGUGUAGCCGAAUAUUGGGUUGACUUGGUCUUCAAUUUGGAUGGUUUUGUAAUUCAUCAAAGCUAUCAGACUUAUCCAGAACAAAUUAACAAGUUAGAGGACGAAUCAAAUUUAUCCAAUUUAAUUAAUUAAUUAAAACCCAAAUUAUUAAUGAAAUAUUUUAAAAUGAAUUAUUAAAUAUGAUUUUAUAUUUUAUUAUUUAAUUUAAUCAUGCAUGGCUCACUUUAUGUCUUAAAAAAUAUAAUAUAUUCAAAGUAAUAUAAAACAAGCCAUUUAUUACAUGAAAACUAUAUAAUAAAGCAUAAAAUCACAUUUUAAUAAUUUCUAUGUCAUAAUUUCAUAUUUUCACAUAUUUCAUUAAUUUAUUAAACAAUAACUUGUUUUAACAAUAAAUUUAAGUAAAAAUGUGAUAAAUUACAUAGGAAAAAUCCUAUAUAUAUUCUCGUUUACAGAAUGCCAUGAGCCUUCCAGAUCUAUGUAAAAAGAGUUUUCAGACUUAUAGUAGAACCAGAAGUAAGAGGGAGAGGGAUAGGAGUCGAGAACGAUCGAAACAACCGAUAUUCACUUUGGACCGAGUAACAACCAAUCGGAACCCCAUUCCAAAUAAGCACAUCGUGGCCAACCAAAAAAGACAAAAGAAUACGUAGGAUACGCGUGGCCUCUUUGGUAGAAAAUAAAGCUUGUAUCAAAGCAACAUUCUAAAAGGCGGAACAAGGGAUAAUUAAAUCACUAACCCAUGAAACAACAAUAGUAACAUGUGUAUGCAGAGAGCCAACAUUCAUUCCAAAUCGAAAUGGAGCAACCAUCACCCACUCCCCAACCCAGUCCCUUUUCCAAUAGUACCCGAGAACACCAAAUACUACGCCAAGUAUAAGAAGGGGGAUAUCCCAACUCGGCCUCAAGAAAUUUAUAUGCUGAAAGUAGCGAGCCUUCAAAACACGACUUAAAAGGCUAGUCAGAUUAGUCACAAGACACCAUCCUUUCCUCACUAGAAGGCAAUGUUAAAGGUAGCUAAAUCACGAAAGCCCAUCCCUCCAACAUUUGGGAGCGCACAACUAGGAUCAUGAACACUAUGGAAUACCCCUAUGACAAUCUGAUGUCCACCUUAAAAACUUAUUCAUAAUAACCUCCAAAUCAUAGCAUAGGGAAAUAGGGAACAUAAAACAUUGCAUAGUAAACGUGGGGAUCGCCAGUAAAACCGACUGAAUAAAUACACCCCUACCACCUUGUGAAAGACAUCACAUAUUCCACCUAUCCACACUACGUCAGAACCAAUCCUUAAAGUGUUGGAAAGUAGCUCGUUUGUUUUUCCCAACCAAAGGCGGAAGGCCCAAGUACUUGUCAAAAUGAUCAAUGACACGCACACCCAAAAUCGAUCCAAAAAGAGGUAUCGUAGAAGGGCCAAUAUUGGUGCUAAAAUAUGUUACAGAGUUAUCAAAAUUCACCAAUUAACUUAAAUACCUCCCAUAUUCAUGGAGAAUAGAUUAAACUGUGGAGGCACUCUUAGCUAUAGUAAGGCUAAAAACCAUACAAUCAUUAGUAAAUAAAAGACUCGACUGCCCUAUGCCAACCUUGGGAAAAACCCACGUCUAUUGAACCACCUGAACAAAGUAGAGAGCCCCUCGCCAUAUAAAGUAAAGAGAAAAGGUCUUAAUGGGUCACUCUGUCGAAAACCACGCGAAGGUAAAAAAAGUCCCUCACACUCCGAUUAAUGACCACAGAGUAGGACACUGUAUGUAUAUAAAGCAUUAUCAGAGACCCAUGCAGUACAGAAACUCAUCCGGAGCAUAACAGCCUCUAGAAAAUCCCACUCAACCCGGUCAUAGGCCUUGCUCAUAUCAGCUUAAAAGCAAAAAUGCUUCCCAUGACGUUUCUGUCGGAAAGAAUAAAUAACCUCAUAUGCAAUAAGGUAGUUGUUAAGAAUAAAUGACCUCAUACGCAAUAAAAUACUGUGUUACGGUCUUUCUGACGUAACCAAUUCACUCAUGAUUAUUGACACAAAAAUCUCCUUCUAAUCCGCCUCCAAAUUAAUAUCCAACUUAAUGUCUGUUAUUUCGGCCAAAAUGUCAUCAAAAGGUUUAGCAGCAAUCAAACGGUCCAAUCUAGCGAGAGUAUCCCACUCUACUCCCUGUUUUGACUGAGUAAGUGCUCGACCUCACGUAGAUAAAGUAAGUCCUAAUGCAUGAAAGCGUGAAGGAAUCGACACACAACUAUCAGACCAUACAUGUCGAAUCACGUCUUCACAGGCAGGCUUAGAAACCUAAGGAGACUCAAAUAGAAACAAACUCCUAGGCACACCAACAAAACCAGCAGACAAAGUGGCACUAAUAGUAACAAGAGGACAUUGAUAAAAAAUCGAAUGAGGAGCAUGUCGAACCUGUGAAACAGGAAACCUAUCAUUCCACAAAGGAAUCGUAACACAAUGAUCUAAGCGCUCUCAAAUAUUUGACGCCGAGAACUUACCCUGUUCCCAAGUAAACCACUGCCCAAAGAGAGCCCAAAUCAUGAAGAUCAUAGUCAGCCAUAGUAAAAUGAAAAUUCUCUAUUUGUCUAUCUCGAUGAAGUAAACCUCCCCAAUUUCUCAAAAGCAUACAUAAUCACAUUAAAGUCGCCAAAAACCAGGAAGGGCAAAUCAAGGUCAAAGUGCAGUCAUCGAAAAAGGUUCCAUGACUCAAAUCGCUCAUACUCUACUAGUGAACUAUAGAAACCCGUCAGUCGCCAACUAGUCUCAUAUGUAUCAUCAACAAUCACCACAUCUAAAUGGUGAGCUGAAUAACCCUGCAAAUGGAUUUGGUAUCUUGGUUUCCAUCCCAAAGAAAGGCCACUCGAGUACCAAUAAUCGAAACAUCUAGACCAUAUAGAAAAUUGAAGCUACGAUGAAUCAACUCUAUCCGUUUAACAUCAAGUUUUGUCUCCAAAAGAAACAGUAGUUGUGGAUUGUAACGACCCAGCGUAUGUCGCACACGACAAACAGUUCGUGGGUUCCUCAAACCACAGAUAUUCCAACUUAUCAGAUUCAUAGUGGCCUGCUGCUCUAACUCAGAGAGCCAGCCUCAUCAGUAAAAGAAGAAGUUUAUGCAAAAUACGAGGUUGCAGAAACAAUAGAUACAGGAGAACUAAGUCGUGCCUAUUUUUUCCCACCCAAAACAAGUCGAGUUCCUUCUGUGAACACUAUGUAAACUCUGUCAAAAUAGCAAAAUGGUCAUCCACCGUCAUGGACGCAUAACUAGUCUUAGUGGGAUUCGGUUUGUCCAAAGAUAGACCUAAAGUAGUAUCCUUUUCCUAAAUAAAAUCCAAAGUAGAAAACAAUAAAGGGAAAGCGUGUGAGGAAUGCGAUCCAUCCCCCAAAAGUGGUGCAGCAAUCAGUGGGUCAUUGCACAACCAAACACUAGUCAGAGACUGUCGACGACACAGUUGUGCCCGCAGGGAAAUAUCCCACUCCAACGAAACAUCCGUAGAACCAAGAGUCAACCGACGAGGACAGAAACUCUCGCUAUGGCACAAUUUGUUACAAAAGAGGGAUAGUCGCUCAUAGCAAAACCGUGCAUAUACCCAGUGUUGAUAAGUUAAAGCAAGGCGCUUUCUCUGCUUUAAUGAAAUUCGGACAUCCAACUGAACCCGAAUAUGUAGAAACUGUUGUAGACCAAAACCAGGGGUUGAAGAGUCGAGUCCCAAGAAAAGCACCAAAUUGUCGUGCCAAACUCUUAGUCCUAUACCCCACCAGGAUGUCAUGAAUUUGAACCCAGAAGUCCAAAAAACCCAAGAAUACUUUAAGAAGAUUUUCCCCUGACAUUAAACGAUGAAACACGAGCAAGUGGUUAUUGAAAGUCCAAGGGCUACCUUGGAGCACCCGAUCAAUGUUCACAACCGCAUAAAAUUGAAAUCGAAAGCGUUUCUCACCCAGAUCAGAAAUAGAGACACUCCCAAUGGGAUGCCAAAGAUUUGCCAUUAUCGAGUGCAUGGCUUCAAAUCAGAUCACACUCGCAGUCAGAAAACUACCCACCCAACAUAAAUCAAAACAAGAAACACUGCCUGAAGCAUCAGGGGUAACCAGCCAUGCUUUUUCCUCGUCAUCAUGAAGGGAUAAACCUGCAAUUUCAUCUUCCAUAGUCAAAUAUGAGAAGCAGCAUUCACGCAAAAAAAAAAUGGAAAAAUGAAGUUCAGAUAAACAAACAAAGAAACCGCACGUGCCACAAGGCAGACUUGUAUUAGUAUUGAUAAAUAUAUUUUUUAGUAUAGGUGUGUUACAAUUUCUUUUUACACAUAACACUCCCAUCUGAUGCAUUUAUUUCCAAUUCGGAUAAAUUGCUCUUUUACCCCUAGUCUUUUAAAUUAUAUAAAAUAAUUGACUUUAAACAUUAUAUUACAAUUUAUAAAACUUUUUUAAAAAUUAAUCUUAUUUGCUAUUGUUUUUAUAUAAUAAAAUUCUUUUUCAUAAAUUAAUUUGUCUAUUAGUACAUAAUUUUAUAAUAAAACAUUGGUAUAUCUAUUUAUUAUAAUCAUGUUAACAUAAUAUUUUAAUCAUUUUAACAUAAUAUUUCCAAACUUAAUAAUACAACAUAUAUUUUAUAUCGUACUAAUGUGUAUUAUCGAUUUUUUUAUGUUAAGAUUAAAUUUACGUUAUUUUUAUUUUUUCUUAAAAUAAUUACAUUAAUAAAUACUAUAAGUCAGUGUCUUGUACAACUAUACAAAUUAAUAUAAUGCAUGUGAUAAACCCAUAAUAUGAAUGGUUAAUUAAAUGAUAAGAAUUUUUAUGGUGACGAGGUAUGUACUAUGAAACCAAACAAGCACAUGACAUGCAUGAGAACAGAUCAUAAGUCACGAUAGAUUAAAUUUGGAAAGUCAACUUGUGAAGUGCUCAGAUACGAAAGUCAGCUCAAAAGGAAUCCCAAUGAGUGAUCUGGCGGGCAAAGGGAAAUUAAGGCAAAUUAGAUUUGGGGGGGUGGGGGGGGGGGGGGGGAGCUUCAUGGAUCAUAGAUAAAUUCUUAGCAUGUGCCCUCAUCACUAAUCUCAAUUUUCUUUUUAGGGAUCAAAUAGGCGCAUCAUUGACCAACAAAUUGAAAACUCCUAUGUUUUGUAUAUUCUCAAAAAAUUCCCUUUGAAUAAUAUUUUUUUGUUUAUUUAGUAUUUAUAUUUUCAUAAAAUGUUAAAAUAUUUGUAUUUUGAAAAUAUCUAAUGUGAUACUUAAAUUAUCAAUCUAUGUAUUAUUAUGAUAAUUGAAGUUAACAUAAUUAGUGAAUGCUAAACUAGUCAAUGAAAA
Molecule: long non-coding RNA, 24609 nt
Filed under: Gossypium barbadense (sea-island cotton)
Lineage: Eukaryota; Viridiplantae; Streptophyta; Magnoliopsida; Malvales; Malvaceae
Description: long non-coding RNA (GBAR_LNC020771)
Rfam family: Plant small nucleolar RNA R71 (bases 17143-17249)
Source: RNAcentral